Molecule: ribosomal RNA, 1281 nt
Filed under: Triticum aestivum (bread wheat)
Lineage: Eukaryota; Viridiplantae; Streptophyta; Magnoliopsida; Poales; Poaceae
Description: partial small subunit ribosomal RNA
Source: RNAcentral
AUGCGUCUGGCAAUGGAUAAUUCUCUCAUGAAAGCUCUGCCCUUCUCAUCCGCCUGGCUGCCGGGGGAUCGCUGGCCGGAGACGUGCCUCCGCCUGCCUCUGCUGCUGCUCCUCCUCCCAGUAACUCUCAUUAUCCUUCUCCUCUUCUUCCCCUCCUCCCCACCCCUGCCCCCGCCGCACCCCAACAUCCCCUGCGGCGCCGCCCCCGCCGACGCCACCGCCGGCCGCUGGGUCCCGACCCCAUCUCCCCCGCCGCCUCCCCUCUACAACCAGUCCUGCCCCUUCCACCGCAAAAGCUGGAACUGCCUCCGCAACGGCCGUCCACCGGUCGCCGCGUUCUCCUGGGCCCCCUCCCGCUGCGGCUCCGGCGCCGUCGUCCCGAGGGUCGACCCCGCCGCUUUCCUCGCGGCGGCCAGGGGGCGCCGGAUCGGGUUCGUGGGGGACUCGCUGUCGGAGAACAUGGCCAUCGCGCUGCUCUGCGCGCUCCGGUCGGGCGACGCCGGCGUGCGGGACUGGAAGCGGCGCGGCGCGUGGCGGGGUGGUCACUUCCCCCGGGAGGACGUCGUCGUCGGGUACCACCGCGCCGUGCUCCUCGCCAAGUACACGUGGCAGCCUGUAGAGAAUUCUGAACCUCGGAAGGACGGAAUAAAGGGAACUUACAGAGUUGAUGUCGACAUUCCUGCUGACGAUUGGAUAAAUAUCACCAAGUUUUAUGACGUGCUCAUUUUCAACACUGGACACUGGUGGGGUUCGUAUAAAUUCCCAAAAGAGACCCCCCUUGUUUUCUACCGAGGAGGAAAACCAAUUGAGCCUCCACUCAGCAUCUUUGAUGGGCUGAAGGUAGCCCUCAAAAGUAUGGGCUCCUACAUCAAAAGGGAGGUCCCCGGUAAAACCCUGAAGCUGUGGCGCACACAGUCACCCAGGCACUUUGAUGGAGGUGAAUGGAAUCACAACGGCAGCUGCGUGUCUAACAGGCUCCUACAACAACAUGAGCUCGAUUCCUGGUUCGAUCCGAGGUUUGGGGGAGUGAACAAAGACGCGAGACUGGUGAACUCAUUGCUCCAGGAAGCGCUAGUCGAGACGGACAUCCAGCUGCUCAACCUGACCUACAUGAGCGAGUUCCGCGCCGACGACCAUCCGGCUGUCUGGCUCGAGAAGAAGGAUGAGGCGGCUGUCUGGGGGCAGGACUGCAUGCACUGGUGCCUGCCCGGCGUACCGGACACGUGGGUCGACAUCUUGGCGGCAAGGAUCUUGCUCUACUUCAAGCAGGGCAAAGGUUGA